GGGGAUUUAGCUCAGUGGUAGAGCGCUUGCUAGGCAAGUGCAAGGCCCUGGGUUCGGUCCCCAGCUCCG
Non-coding RNA from Rattus norvegicus (Norway rat), 69 nucleotides. The record is from Rfam. Lineage: Eukaryota; Metazoa; Chordata; Mammalia; Rodentia; Muridae.